UUUUUUUUUUUGUUUUAAUUUUUGGGUUUUGAACGUUUUCUGAUUCUUGUUUGGAUCUGUUUGUUUCAUGGUUUUUUCUUAAAAAGCUGUUGAAUUCUGUUUUUGCUUGCCUAGUAUAAUUUGCUUAAUCAGUGGUGAUUUCCUUUACCUCUCUUCCUAUGAUACAGUAUCUUUGCCGAGUUCUCUCGUUUCUUAUGCCAAAACAGAUCAAGGGAACCUUACUUCUUUGCUUAUAUAUUUCAGG
RNAcentral lists this unclassified non-coding RNA (244 nucleotides) under Hevea brasiliensis (rubber tree). Lineage: Eukaryota; Viridiplantae; Streptophyta; Magnoliopsida; Malpighiales; Euphorbiaceae. The record is from RNAcentral.